MicroRNA precursor from Saccoglossus kowalevskii, 97 nucleotides. NCBI's taxonomy places the organism in Eukaryota, Metazoa, Hemichordata, Enteropneusta, Harrimaniidae. The record is from RefSeq.
CUCUAUAUGUGUAUUACCUAAUCCCUGAGACCCUAACUUGUGAGAAUUACCCAGCAUUCACAGGUUAGUGGCUUAGGAAUUGGGUGGUGCAUUCAUA